GGGGCCAUAGCUCAGCUGGCCAGAGCGCCUGCAUGGCAUGCAGGAGGUCGGCGGUUCGAAUCCGCCUGGCUCCACCA
Molecule: transfer RNA, 77 nt
Filed under: bacterium
Lineage: Bacteria
Description: tRNA-Ala
Rfam family: tRNA
About the family: Transfer RNA (tRNA) molecules are approximately 80 nucleotides in length. Their secondary structure includes four short double-helical elements and three loops (D, anti-codon, and T loops).
Source: RNAcentral